CUGGCCGCCGCGCAGCCCGACGGGGACUUCCGGCACCACCCCGGAAGUCCCGGUCGGGCUCCCGCUUCCGCCUCAGUGGGGCAACAUGGCCGCCGUCUUGCCCCCAGAAGUCAGUGACAAGCGAAAUCAGAGCCUUGCUCUCCUAGGUUUUCCACCGUCCCCUCGAAAGCCCAGACUUCGUACGGUGGCUUCGGGGCUCCGCCUGCCCUCCAGGCUGACUUCCUCAGGUGGCCCCGCCCCUGCGCCCCAGCCUCCUGCCGCCCCGCCCCAGGACGGGGGUCUCUGCCUCCACACUGUUGAUAUGGGGGUGGACAGUUCUUUGUCGUGGGGGCUGUCCUGUGCCUCGGAGGACGGUCAGAGGCGUCCCCAGCCUUUGCUCUCCGCUAGAUGCCAGUUCCACCCUUGCUCCCCAGUUUUGACGACCAACAGUGUCCCUAGACAUUCCCGAGUGUCCCGUGGGCAGCAAAGUCGCCCCCACUGAGAACCUCUGACCUAGGACAAGCCAGGCUCAGGCCCUGUGUCGUCACACGGCUGGCUUCCCGUUUUCCUUCGACCCUCAGCUCAAGUGUUGACUCCUUGUAAGCCUUUCUUGACCAGGCCAUCUCAAGUGGCUCCCACCCCCAUCCCACUGCCCUGUUUUAGUUUCUCCAUAGCACCUGCCACGUGUUUCGUUUAUUGCUUUGUCUUCCCAGCUUGUAUGCGGUCCCCACAAGUAUAAGGUCCAUGGUGGCAGGUUCUUGGGUGUCCUGUUCCUUACCGUGUCCCCGGCACCUGCCAACUGCCUGGCACCUGGUGGGGUGGAAGAGGGUCCUCCAAAAACAGACCCCGGCAUCGCUGCAGAAACUGGGACCACGCUGCAAUGAUUGAAUUAGUGGGAGGCCAUUUCCUCUUCCUUCCUCCAUCCUUAACUCCAGCUAAGACCAGGAUGGAGCCGUCAGCUGGGAAGUGGGCUUGCCUGUGGGUCAUCCGGGUCACCGUCGCGCAGGGCUGGCUCUGUGGCUUGCUUUGGCGAGGAGAAUGUGGCAGCAGUGUUCCUGGGCCAGGUCUGGGCCUAAACCGUAAGAAGUUCUGGCAGCUUCCCAUUUUGUGCCUUGGGAGCCCUGAACCACCAUGUGAGAAGUCCAGCUGCCUGGCUGGAGAGGUCACACAUGGAGGGAGACUCUGCAGCUGCGUGGAAAGGGGGUCCCAUUGCCCCAGCCUCCCAGCCAACCUGCGAGCUGAGUGAAGCCACGCACAUAACUGUCAGCAAGACCAACAGAAAAAGUGCCCAGCUGAGCCUCAACCCAGAUUGCAGAAUCGUGAACAAAUAAAACAGUUGAUUUUAACCUGCUAACUUCUGGUGACGAGUUCAGGAGCCUGGACUCUGACCAUCAGAACGUGAAAUUCCCCUGGGGCCCAGGAGAGAACAAGGGACAUAAUUGGCACAGUCAGGCUGAAGGAAAGGACUCUGAUUUCAUGACUGCGAGAGAGAAACACUCUUCCAAACGGCACGAAUCAGGAAGCCUAGAGCCCUCACUGCUGCUGGCGGCUGUUUCACAACCGUGUGAUGAAGCAGUUUAGGACGAAGCCAGCUUUGUGGAUGGCACGGUAGAGAACCAGGGAGAAGUUAGAUAACAAAAGAUAAUAAGGGAGAAGUUAGAUAACAAAAGAUAAUAAAUCUUAUAUUGUUUAAGCCACUGCGUUGGGCUUUCUGUUACUUGUAGCCAAAAGUCGCCUAUUGUGAUUCUACCAAAAAGUGGGAAAAUAAAAGAACGAACAAUAGGGAAACUGGACUUUUUUCUCAUGCCUCGCCUAAUUUGUCUUAGAGUUUUCUGCCUGGCCCCUGUAAUCAGUCGGUUUGCAGCCCCUGUACUGAGCCCCAAUGAUUGUACGGCUAAGGAAUUGGUGUAAGUCGACUCUCACCACUUGGUUGGGUAUACUUGUAAUACACCUUUGUUCUUGAAAAUAAUUGUAUGAGUCUCUGCACCUAAAAUAAUCAAAUAAAUAAUGACCUGACUCAUACAGCAGGUGUCUAGGGGAUGGGUAACAUUGUCUUACAAAACACAGUUUUGUGGGUAGCCUCUUCACCUCAAGGGCCUUCUGGGAAAGAGGACCUUACUGCAAGGAGGCUUGCAGUGUGGACCAGAAUUGGAAAUGCACUGUUUGCUCUGAAAUGCAGGGCCCUUCCUUCUCUGGCCCUUGUGCCUUGCUCAGUGAGUGGAGCUCAGAGAAGAUGCUAUCUGAUGGAGUGAAUCCAGAAGCCAUCAGAGACGGAGGACAUUUCAGGGGCCAUCUAAUUCCUCCAGCGUUUCUCACGACAUUUCUGCUUCCUGUUUCACAUCUGCCUUGCUCACCCCUUGCUGCCAGACAGUUGCAGCUGCUUAUUCCCAAUUUCAGCUUCCUCAAAAGGCUGGUUUCCAAGUACCCAUCACAGACUUUCUGUGCCAUCUGCACAUCACUGUCUCGUUCAGUCAACAAAUAACUGUUGAGCACCUACUCCAUACGUCACGACAGCUCAGUGUCAGCUCUCAUGUCCGAGGCUUCUGCUUUUCUGGUCUCCCAGUUCCCUGCAGAGGGCCUCUGAUAGGCCCAGCUCAUCUUUAUGCAUCAGGCCAUGGCCUAAGUCAGUAGCCAUUUCAGAGCCACAGGCCAUGUCAUCCAUCUUUUGACUCUCCUUGGGAACAGAGAGUUGUCAUAAAUUCUGUUUAUCUCAGGGAGGCCCUGUUGCAACAGUUCUAUCUGGCUGCAGAUAAUCUUGGUAGAAGCAGAAAAGAUAAGAAAUAAAAACACAGUCCACCAGUAGAAUGGAAUCAGGCUUUAUCUUCUUGAGCCCAAAGCAAGGCAACGCUAACCUGCCUUAGUGUGAGUUAACCCGGCUCUCAGAAUGACUUGUGCUUUAUUUUUACGGAGGAUGUGAGAGUGUGUGGCCAGGAGGAUGGGUUUUUGUUUGGCUUUUCUCAAGCCCUCGUUUUAUUUGACCCUUGUGAGUAGCAGCCUCUACUUCUUGGGUUCUUUUCCUGCUGUGUUUUAGAAACCCACAAGACACCUGCAAAAGCGAGGCAUUCACCAGUACAAGGGCAGGCAGAACAGGGAGGGAGAGAGUGAGUAAAAGAAAGUGAACUUCUGCUUCCUCCUAUUUGAAGAAGCGCAAGAUGGAUGUUCACAAAUGUGGGACCACACCUACCCUUUCCAUUUUAACUAGCACUUUUAUACUUUCUUAUAAAUAUCUUUAUAUUGCAAUAAUAAAGUAGAUAAUUGGCAGUUAGAAGUGUAUUUGUUUUUUAGAUUAGGCCUUACAGGAAAGAUCAGUGGAGAUGAAUACAAAGGAUGAGAACUGAAGCAUACAUUUGAAAUAAUUCAGCAUUUGAUAAUAAAGACAUUUCCAAUCCACGGGGCAAAGAAUGCAUUAUUGAAUAAAUUCCGUUGGAAUAAGCGACUGAACGUGUGGGGAAAAUAGGCUGCACAUUUCAUACCAACAUAAAUUCCAGAUGGAUAAAAUAUUGUCAUGGAGAAAUCAAAAAUAUAAAAGCAUUAAGAGAAAAUAUUGGCAAAUAUAAAAUCUUAGGGAGAGGAAUGCUUUUCUAAGCCCAGCACUAAAGCCAUGAAGGAAAACGUUAAUCGAUUUGACUACAUAAAGACUUCAAACUUACUUGUAUAAAAAAGAAUAAUUGCAGUGAACAGCAAACUGAAAAAAUAUUUGCGAUACAUACGACGAAGUUAAUGUCAUUAUUUUAUAAAGAGUUCUUAGGAAUCUCAUGAAAUUUAUUGGAUAAACAUCCAAUAUAUAAAACUGACAAAGUGAAUGUCCAGGCAAUGUAGAGGGUGGCUGUCCUUUGGUCCUCCUCAGCAUUUGUCCCUCCUCUGGUGACAGCACCUUGAUUAUCUUGGUUCAUCAGUGCUCCCUGUGGUUGAGGUAGGACUUGGUGGUCCCCUAAACCAGGAGUGGUCAUGUGACCUAAGCCUAUCCAGUCAGCAGUAGUCCAUCUAUUGAGCUGCAGUGAUUGGCUCAAACAUGGACAUGUGACCCAAGUUGAUCCAGUCACAGCUACUCCUGUGACAUUCUGGUGACCAGGAAAAAACUGAUUCCUCUUGCAGUUGGAUUUGUAAUUAUAUACACCUGGAGUUGUUGGGGCCAUCUUGUGAAACCCAAGAAUUAAGCAACCCAGAAGAAAGUAGAGAUGAGGAGAGGAAGGCCUUGUUUCAAAAAGACAUUUUCUAGGUCUUGGUUCUGACAAUGCCUUAAAGUAGCUUUUUUCCUGGACAUUUCAGUUGGGAGCCUAUAAAUUUUUUUUUGAUUAAGAAAAUGUGACUUUCUGUCGCUUGCAAUUGAAAAAGUCCCAACUAAUACAAGCAAUACAUACACAUGUAUGACACAGAGAAAAGACAAAACACAAAUGCCCUUCAUGAAAAAAGGUCAAAUUACACCAAUAAUGUUAAAAUGGAAAAAGGACAGACAUGUUUGUCACUUGAACUGAAAAUACCCAGUGUUGGCAAGGUUUUGGGAAAUGAGUGCACUCAUAAGUAACCAAUGGAAAGGUAAAUUGGUGCAACUUUGCUGGAGGGCAAUUAGUCAUUAGUAUGAAAAUCACAUUCGCCUACACUUUGUGCAGUUACACUUCUAGGAAUUAAAGAAUGUGUGCAGAGACUUAGCUAUAAAAUAUUCAUUGUAAUGUUGCUUAAAGUAGCAAAAAGCUCAGAAACAGCAAAGAUGUACAAUAAGAAGGCAUUGAUUAAAUAAAUUAUAGUGCACGCAUACACUGGAGAUACUAUGUAGUUAAUCAAAUGACAUUGUAGAAGUAGGAUUCAGAGGAGGAAAACUAUUUGUGGUGUGUUAUUCUAUUUUCUAUUGUUGUGUAACAAGGUACCACAACUUUAGUGGCUUCAGACAACACGCAUAUAUUAGCUCACAGUCCUGUAGGUUAGAAGUCUGGGUGUGGCUGGCUGGGUUCUCAGCUGGGGGUCUCACAGCUGAAAUCAAGCUGUGUGCUGGGCUGAGAUCUCAUCUGGAGCUCUUUCCAGCUCACGUGG
Molecule: long non-coding RNA, 5007 nt
Organism: Diceros bicornis minor
Lineage: Eukaryota; Metazoa; Chordata; Mammalia; Perissodactyla; Rhinocerotidae
Exons: 3
Source: RefSeq, a predicted model, not a curated record